GUGAAAUUGUUGAAAGGGAAACGAUUGAAGUCAGUCGUGCCAGCGAGAAAUCAGCUUACAGGAUACUGUGGGUGCACUUUUUCGCAAGGCAGGUUAACAUCGAUAUUUGUUGGGUCAUAAUGAGUGUAGGAAGGUGGCUCCUUCGGGAGUGUUAUAGCCUACUUUAGAUGGCGUGAUAGAGAUCGAGGAUUGCAGCGAAUGCCUUUAGGCUACCGGUCUGUUCUCUGUCUAUUGUCAAUCGGACUUCAGCAAGCUUAGGCACGGUUGAACAAUUUACAAUAGAACGGAAUCUGAUAAAUUCGCUAAGGAUGUUGACGUAAUGGCUUUAAACGAC
This 334-nucleotide ribosomal RNA is filed under the name uncultured Glomeromycotina. RNAcentral's name for it is "eukaryotic LSU rRNA". The record is from RNAcentral. Lineage: Eukaryota; Fungi; Glomeromycota.